RNAcentral lists this transfer RNA (88 nucleotides) under Melitaea cinxia (Glanville fritillary). RNAcentral describes it as "misc RNA ENSMCXG00005023361.1". It matches the Rfam family "tRNA". From Rfam's summary of the family: Transfer RNA (tRNA) molecules are approximately 80 nucleotides in length. Their secondary structure includes four short double-helical elements and three loops (D, anti-codon, and T loops). Lineage: Eukaryota; Metazoa; Arthropoda; Insecta; Lepidoptera; Nymphalidae. The record is from RNAcentral.
CCUUCGAUAGCUCAGUUGGUAGAGCGGUGGACUGUAGUAGUUUGACGUUGAUAUCCAUAGGUCGCUGGUUCAAAUCCGGCUCGAAGGA